This 473-nucleotide ribosomal RNA is filed under the name uncultured bacterium. Its description in RNAcentral is "bacterial SSU rRNA". It matches the Rfam family "Bacterial small subunit ribosomal RNA", at positions 335 to 799 of the family's 1533-position model. The record is from RNAcentral.
ACUCCUACGGGAGGCAGCAGUGGGGAAUAUUGCACAAUGGGCGCAAGCCUGAUGCAGCCAUGCCGCGUGUAUGAAGAAGGCCUUCGGGUUGUAAAGUACUUUCAGCAGUGAGGAAGGUGGGUAUGUUAAUAGCAUAUUCAUUUGACGUUAGCUGCAGAAGAAGCACCGGCUAACUCCGUGCCAGCAGCCGCGGUAAUACGGAGGGUGCGAGCGUUAAUCGGAAUUACUGGGCGUAAAGCGCAUGCAGGUGGUUUGUUAAGUCAGAUGUGAAAGCCCGGGGCUCAACCUCGGAAUUGCAUUUGAAACUGGCAAACUAGAGUACUGUAGAGGGGGUAGGAAUUUCAGGUGUAGCGGUGAAAUGCGUAGAGAUCUGAAGGAAUACCGGUGGCGAAGGCGGCCCCCUGGACAGAUACUGACACUCAGAUGCGAAAGCGUGGGGAGCAAACAGGAUUAGAUACCCUGGUAGGAUAGCG